Mesocricetus auratus (golden hamster) is the source of this 1572-nucleotide long non-coding RNA. RefSeq lists it as uncharacterized. NCBI's taxonomy places the organism in Eukaryota, Metazoa, Chordata, Mammalia, Rodentia, Cricetidae. The record is from RefSeq and is a predicted model, not a curated record. The transcript has 3 exons.
CGCAGCUGCUGUCAUUGGCCCUGGUCACCCCAGCAUGCUAGUGACACCCCACUGCCUCUCGAGGUCAAUUAGUCCUUUUUCUUUCCAAAUACCUGGGGCUGGAGCGCUCAGGCCAACAGUGGCCGCGCUUGGGGCGCUCGCCUCGGGCUAAGUCAAUGAGCGCCACCCGUGGGCUCAGCAGCCCGCCGGGCCGUAAACAGAAGUUGCAGGGACUCAGGCCAAACGCAAGUUGCACUACUGGAAGAACUCUUCCGGGAGCUAGCCCAGGACGGGGCGGGAAGGCCGGGCUCUGGGCUCAGUGUACCAGGCUUUUUUUUUUUUUUUUUUAAAGAGAUCCUGCAGGCAGGAGAACAAGCGCCCCCAAAGUCAAUCGCAAGACAGCUUCGGGAUGCCAACGGAGAAGGCCCAGAGUCCCCGGCCCUUGGCCGAGGCGAGCACCGGGUGACUCCAACUGCCCGGGGCCAGGCUUCGCGUCCGAGGUGACCCCGUUGGGUACUGGGGAGUCGGGCUGGCGGCCGCAGGCAAUCACGCUCAGGUGCCAAGCCGGGCUCCCGGCCCGUGCUCCACCCGCUGCAGCCCUGCACCCCAGGAAGGCCGGGCAGGGGCAGCCCAGGGACCUCCCUGCGACUCCAAGAGGUGUAGCGAUUCUAACUGGGUUUGGUUUUGUUUGGGCUUUUUCUUUUCCUUUUUCCCCUGCCCAGACCGAAGAAGAGGGAACCUGCACUGACCGCCUCAUGUCUCCCACGCCCCGGACAACCGGCGCCACCAGAAGCGAUCCCGCUUAGGCUCCCAGAAAACGCGGGAGGAAGCAAGAAGGGGGCUAAAGAGAGAAAGAGGGGGGCGGAAAAUAAUAACGGGAGAGGCAGGAAAGCGGACUCAUUUGUAGCAUCAAUAAAAACACACGCACGCACACACAAAGGAGAUGGCAAUCAACAGAAACAUGUGGAGACUGAAAGAUUUUGAAGCAUUGAGAACUACAUGGGAUGUCUUUUCUAUACUUCACAUCAACACCCAGAGAUCUCUGAAGAAGAGGAGUAGGAGAAAUUGGUUAUCUCCACAUAACAGCCCUGGCUCUUCUGGAACUCCCUCUGUAGAGACGGAUGACCUUGAACUCACUGAUUCACUGGCCUCUGCCUGCCAAGUGCUGGGGUUAAAGGCAUGCAUCACCACCACCUGGUCAACACACUUUUCUUGAAGCAGAUACUCAAGGUUUCCUUCCAAGCUUUCAUAUGGCUCGUGAAGCACUGACUCUGUUCUGCUAAUGCUGUCUCUAUAGCGCAGAGGCCACAAGUGUGAUGGUCAAAUGGUCCCUGGCUUCUUUGAGUUGUCAACUGAAGAAAUCUGCUUGAUUGGUCCACAUAGCUGAUAGAGAAAAUAGCCACUACGUUUGUCUGAAACAUGUGACUGUACAGAAAGCUCCAAACCUCUGCUAUUGUUAGUUUAUUUUUCAUUUCCAUCUCAGGUUUAAUAAGAAUUGUGAUCUUAAGGCACAAUGUCACAGGCAAAGAAUUAAAAGCAGAAGUUUUCUCCGUGGCUACUGUUUUUAUAAAUAAAUAAAUAAUAGAAGUAAAA